GACGAACGCUGGCGGUGUGCUUAACACAUGCAAGUCGAACGGUAAGGCCCUUUCGGGGGUACACGAGUGGCGAACGGGUGAGUAACCCGUGAGUAACCUGCCCUCAUCUCUGGGAUAACAGUCGGAAACGGUUGCUAAUACUGGAUAUGAGCUUGCAAGGCAUCUUGUGGGUUGGAAAGAUUUUUUUUGGUUGGGGAUGGACUCGCGGCCUAUCAGCUUGUUGGUGAGGUAGUGGCUCACCAAGGCUUCGACGGGUAGCCGGCCUGAGAGGGCGACCGGCCACAUUGGGACUGAGAUACGGCCCAAACUCCUACGGGAGGCAGCAGUGGGGAAUAUUGCACAAUGGACGGAAGUCUGAUGCAGCAACGCCGCGUGCGGGAUGACGGCCUUCGGGUUGUAAACCGCUUUCAAUUGUGACGAAGCUUUUUUGUGACGGUAGCAGUAGAAGAAGCACCGGCUAACUACGU
Molecule: ribosomal RNA, 467 nt
Filed under: uncultured bacterium
Lineage: Bacteria
Description: partial 16S ribosomal RNA
Rfam family: Bacterial small subunit ribosomal RNA
Source: RNAcentral